This 135-nucleotide small nucleolar RNA is filed under the name Fundulus heteroclitus (mummichog). Its description in RNAcentral is "Small nucleolar RNA SNORA14 (ENSFHEG00000003804.1)". It matches the Rfam family "Small nucleolar RNA SNORA14". From Rfam's summary of the family: ACA14 is a member of the H/ACA class of snoRNA that guide the sites of modification of uridines to pseudouridines. The record is from RNAcentral. Lineage: Eukaryota; Metazoa; Chordata; Actinopteri; Cyprinodontiformes; Fundulidae.
GAGCACCCUUAGAAACCCCCCAGCUGCUUCGGUAGCUUCUGGGACAAGAAAGGGUGCGAGAUCAACCUUAGAACCAUCCAAAGCUGAGAGCAGAGUCACUGUAGCUCUCAGCUAUUUCACCUCUAAGACAGCGUU